AUGUUCACAGGGUCAAUGUUGCUGGAAAGUUAUCACAAAGAAGACGUCAUUUUGGCCUGCGUUCUUGACGGUGGGUCUACUCCUAGAGGAAGCCUAUCAUCGAAUGAUAGCAGAAAUAAGACUGAUCAAUACAGACUCCUAGAAAUUGACAUAAACUCAAAGUUUUUCAUCAUGAGACCCACGGAACACGAGUACGACGAGCUGCGUCUUUUCAAAUCUCCCAAAGUGCAGAAAGCCUUGCGGUUUUGCCACGAAAACGGCGAGAAAUGGUGCAAGCAGCUCAAGAUCAUCCAUCAUAUUUAUCCAGAGAACGUGGUCAAGGAGCUGAACGCCAUCAACGAAAAAAGUCUCGAGAGCAACAAAAAAGAGAAGAAAUCGAGAAGAGUGUCUCUAGGCGACAAAAAGACGGUCAAGUCUGCUUCCUUCAGAUUUUCCACCUCUUACGGCCCUGAGGAUCCGCGACCCCUGUACAGAAAUCUCAAUGCUCAAAAUGUAGCCUCGAUAGCGACCGCGGUAACGACUACCUCCACUACUAACUCAACGUCGACCUGUGAUUCGAAUUCCCUCUACCUUAAUCUCGCCAACCACAGGCUUAUCCAUAAGAAUUUCGGUGGGAACGAAUGUUUCUCUUUACCAAUGAUGAAAACAGAGAGGAACAUUUUCGACAACGAACUCUUCCGCUCCAAAACAAGUUCCUCUCCCUCUUCGACGAAGCAACCACCACCCCUUCCAUCGAAACCUCCCUCUUCUCGCGGUUCAAAGAAUUAUCUAAAUCCUCCCUCAUCACCCCCUCCUCCCCCACCUGUGUCAAAACCCCCGCCAGCCCCUCCUCAAAACAGCCCCCCUCUGCCUCCACCAAACUUCGUCCUUUCAAACAGUAAUAGCAAUAGCAGCAGCAGUCGAGUGAGCAAGCACAAUGAGAGUAGUCUACCAAAUGUAAAUAGCAUCAACUCAGGAUCCUCAAACGUAAACGAUAGUUUUAGUGAUAGCAACACUUUAAGUGCAAUGGAAAGACUGGAUAUGUUAACCAAUUCAUCGAGUAUAAAAUCAAGAAACGAAGACGCGGACAUCAGCCUAGCUUCCUUAGAUAGUUACCAUAAAUCUGAAAAACUUCCUCAGAGCAAUAAUAGUGGCAAUCGUGGUAGGGACAGCAAUCCGAGCAGCAAUAAAAGUAGUUUAAAAUACAAUCACGUCAGUAGUAUUGAAAUAAGCAACAACGAGAAAAACAUUAUCAUAAAUAAUAGUAGUAAAAGUAGUAAGAGUAGUAAAACAAAAACAGAUAAAGAGCUAGUCACAUAUUUAAACAAAAACAAUCAUGUUACCAAUAGCAAAAGUUCGAGCAACCCGAAAACCAAGCCAGAAAGAGAUAAGAGUGUGGAACAAACAGUUCGUGAUGUUGACAAGUUCAAAAUUGCGCCUGAGGCUGAUUUUAAGUAUAGGGUAAUUAGAAAAACUGUCAACAAUUACUCACACCAGCCCACUCAAGAGCCCAUGUCCUUAGAUAGUGCUGAAAGACCCGUCUACAAGACACGGCUGUUGGUUCAAAAUGUUGAUUCAACCCCUAAAUCCCUAAACAUCCCCUACACACCGGUCAUUGAUCUACCCUUGAAAACCAAUGUCACAAGUAACAAUUUAAAAACGGAAAUCCCGUAUACGAAUGUUAAGGAUGCUAUCUCUCCCAAUGAGUCGGACGUUUCUUCUGGGUCAAGUGAGAAUGUUUACGCCGAAAUCGGCGAUGUUUAUCCAACCAAUGAUCGCAGGUAUUUUUCUUUCAACUACAACAAUAAAGCGAGAUUACGUCCGUUCAAAUUGGAUUACCAAAGUGGCGGUAGUGAUGGAUGUUUUUCUGGUACUAACUCGAGUUCGAAUAAUGAUGGCUCUGUAUGA
Molecule: long non-coding RNA, 1887 nt
Filed under: Bemisia tabaci
Lineage: Eukaryota; Metazoa; Arthropoda; Insecta; Hemiptera; Aleyrodidae
Description: lncRNA ENSSSA3NGG004253
Source: RNAcentral